Molecule: long non-coding RNA, 2963 nt
Organism: Xyrauchen texanus (razorback sucker)
Lineage: Eukaryota; Metazoa; Chordata; Actinopteri; Cypriniformes; Catostomidae
Exons: 3
Source: RefSeq, a predicted model, not a curated record
CAGAACAGGAGAGAGAACAUUUAGAAAUGUUACUGAACUGACUAGUGUUUCUAAAAUGUGUUCUUGAACUACUGCUUUUUUAUAAUCUUUUUUUUGUUUGCUAGAACAAAAUUUCACACUUUAUAUUAGGUGUCUUACUACUUUAACAUUACAAUACAUACAACACAAUGUAUUUAUAGUAUAAUGAUAUGUUGUACUGCAUUCUCACAAGAUUGAUGUUACAAAGGUUGAAGUACAUUACGGUUAUUUGAGGUAGGGUUUAGGGUAAGGGUUAUGGUAGGGUUUAGGGUAAGGGUUGAGGUAGGGUUAAGGGUUGAGGUAGGGUUUAGGGUAAGGGUUGAGGUUAGGGUGUGAGGUUAAGGUUUAGGGUAAGGGAUGAGGUUAGGGUUUAAGUUGAGGUGUGAGGUAGGGUUUAGGGUAAGGGAUGAGGUUUGGGUUUAAGUUGAGGUGUGAGGUAGGGUUUAGGGUAAGGGAUGAGGUUAGGGUUUAAGUUGAGGUGUGAGGUAGGGUUUAGGGUAAGGGAUGAGGUUUGGGUUUAAGUUGAGGUGUGAGGUAGGGUUUAGGGUAAGGGAUGAGGUUAGGGUUUAGGUUGAGGUGUGAGGUAGGGUUUAGGGUAAGGGAUGAGGUUAGGGUUUAGGUUGAGGUGUGAGGUUAGGAUUUAAGUUGAGGUGUGAGGUUAGGGUUUAGAUUGAGGUGUGAGGUUAGGGUUUAGGGUAAGGGAUGAGGUUAGGGUUUAGGUUGAGGUGUGAGGUAGGGUUUAGGGUAAGGGAUGAGGUUAGGGUUUAGGUUGAGGUGUGAGGUAGGGUUUAGGUAGGGUUUAGGGUAAGGGAUGAGGUUAAGGUUGAGGUGUGAGGUUAUGGUUUAGGGUAAGGGAUGAGGUUAGGGUUUAAGUUGAGGUGUGAGGUAGGGUUUAGGGUAAGGGAUGAGGUUUGGGUUUAAGUUGAGGUGUGAGGUAGGGUUUAGGGUAAGGGAUGAGGUUAGGGUUUAGGUUGAGGUGUGAGGUAGGGUUUAGGUAGGGUUUAGGGUAAGGGAUGAGGUUAAGGUUGAGGUGUGAGGUUAUGGUUUAGGGUAAGGGAUUAGGUUUAGGUUGAGGUGUGAGGUAGGGUUUAGGUAGGGUUUAGGGUAAGGGAUGAGGUUAAGGUUGAGGUGUGAGGUUAUGGUUUAGGGUAAGGGAUUAGGUUUAGGUUGAGGUGUGAGGUUAGGGUUUAGGGUAAGGGAUGAGGUUUAGGUUGAGGUGUGAGGUUAGGGUUUAGGUAGGGUUUAGGGUAAAGGAUGAGGUUGAGGUUGAGGUGUGAGGUUAGGGUUUAGGGUAAGGGUUGAGGUAGGGUUUAGGGUAAGGGAUGGGGUUUAGGUUGAGGUGUGAGGUUAGGGUUUAGGGUAAGGUUUGAGGUAGGGUUAAGGGUUGAGGUAGGGUUUAGGGUAAGGGAUGAGGUUAAGGUUUAGGUUGAGGUGUGAGGUUAGGGUUUAGGGUAAGGUUUGAGGUAGAGUUAAGGGUUGAGGUAGGGUUUAGGGUAAGGUUUGAGGUUAAGGUUGAGGUUGAGGUGUGAGGUUAGGGUUUAGGGUAAGGGAUGAGGUUAAGCUUUAGGUUGAGGUGUGAGGUUAGGGUUUAGGGUAUGGGUUGAGGUUGAGGUUGAGGUGUGAGGUAGGGUUUAGGGUAAGGGAUGGGGUUUAGGUUGAGGUGUGAGGUUAGGGUUUAGGUAGGGUUUAGGGUAAGGGAUGAGGUUAAGGUUGAGGUUGAGGUGUGAGGUUAGGGUUUAGGGUAAGGUUUGAGGUAGGGUUUAGGGUAAGGGCUGCUCAUGAUUUCCUACAUAUUACAAUUCAGAGUUAAACUUUUUUAAUGAGUUAAUAAUUACAGAGUGCACCUUCAAGUCUUAUGUUCAUUGAAUUUAAUUUAUUUCACAUUUUUUAUUAAGCAUUAAACAAAAUUUUAGAAAGUUUAUGCUUAAAACAACAUGAUCACAGGGCAGCUUGAAAGUUUCGGUGCCCUGACAUUUAGGCCAUUCUGACGAGUUACUGACAAGCACCAUUUCCCAUUAGACAUCUUUGCAUCAACAAAUUUGUGUUUACUUUUUCCUGUAGCGCAACUGAUAGUGUGUUCCAUUAGCAGCCUCCAAGACACAGGUUCUGGUCCCAUGGGAACCAGGAAUUAAUCAUGUUCACUUAAAAAAUUUAUGAGCUCGAUUCAGAGGUUGCAUUGUCCUGUAAGAUUAAACAUUUAUUCCACUAACUGUUAGGUUUAGGUUUGGUGUUUGGGUUAGGGCAUGUGAUUAAUGCAUUCUUUUGGACUAUUACAUAAUUAACAACUAAUAAACAACUUGCUUUUGGCGCCCCUCUGUGGACAUUUCACCUGGAAACUGGAGCUCACAAAUACGUUUAACAACACUUACAGCUUUGGCCACCGGGGGCAGUGAUUCGAAUUUCAGUAAGCACAGAUUGAUUUCAGCAGAACAACUUUCUAUAUACCGUCGCUGAAUUCACACUGAGAUCAGUCUGUUUUAAACAAGAAACAAUACUUUGCCAAAAGGGUAAGCUAAACUUAAUUCAAUAUAUAUUACCUGAAAACAAGACUUUUUCACAUAAACAAUUUUGCUUCUUAAGUAAAUGUAUCUUUUUUUAAGGACCUUUGGGUGGUUUUACUGGAAAACAACAACAAAAAUACUGAUAAAUAAAAUGAUUUUUUGCUGUGCACAUUUUAAUCUGCAGAAUUAAUGAUAAAAUCAGCAUAAAAACAUCUAUCUGGGUCUGGUUAAUCUAGCCUAUGUCACAGGAAUUUGAUUCUUAGAGACACAUCAUCAUCUAUUUGCAAGCUCCUUCACACCUUUGCCCUUAUUUACAGGACUUUCACUACACAUGUGCUGAUAUGAUUGCUUGCUGAUCUAGACACCAAAGCAUGACACAUCAUUAUCUUAUCAAGUGAAAGAAAGAUAAGAGCAAACUCAUAACUCAAAGAGGUUUGUACCGGU